CCUCAUUGCCGUGUGCAAUCAGUACAAAGUAAUUCUCAUUGCACACAGUAGUGGGGCU
Molecule: microRNA precursor, 58 nt
Filed under: Ptychodera flava
Lineage: Eukaryota; Metazoa; Hemichordata; Enteropneusta; Ptychoderidae
Description: Pfl-Mir-4818-P5_pre stem-loop
Source: RNAcentral